Molecule: ribosomal RNA, 292 nt
Filed under: uncultured bacterium
Lineage: Bacteria
Description: partial 16S ribosomal RNA
Rfam family: Bacterial small subunit ribosomal RNA
Source: RNAcentral
GUGCCAGCAGCCGCGGUAAUACGUAGGGUGCGAGCGUUGUCCGGAAUUAUUGGGCGUAAAGGGCUCGUAGGCGGUUUGUCGCGUCGGGAGUGAAAACACACAGCUUAACUGUGUGCUUGCUUCCGAUACGGGCAGACUAGAGGUAUGCAGGGGAGAACGGAAUUCCUGGUGUAGCGGUGAAAUGCGCAGAUAUCAGGAGGAACACCGGUGGCGAAGGCGGUUCUCUGGGCAUUACCUGACGCUGAGGAGCGAAAGUGUGGGGAGCGAACAGGAUUAGAUACCCCUGUAGUCC